CCUCUAGAGAUUAGUUUGAUCCUGGCUCAGAUUGAACGCUGGCGGCAGGCCUAACACAUGCAAGUCGAGCGGUAGCACAGAGAGCUUGCUCUCGGGUGACGAGCGGCGGACGGGUGAGUAAUGUCUGGGAAACUGCCUGAUGGAGGGGGAUAACUACUGGAAACGGUAGCUAAUACCGCAUAAUGUCGCAAGACCAAAGUGGGGGACCUUCGGGCCUCAUGCCAUCAGAUGUGCCCAGAUGGGAUUAGCUAGUAGGUGGGGUAAUGGCUCACCUAGGCGACGAUCCCUAGCUGGUCUGAGAGGAUGACCAGCCACACUGGAACUGAGACACGGUCCAGACUCCUACGGGAGGCAGCAGUGGGGAAUAUUGCACAAUGGGCGCAAGCCUGAUGCAGCCAUGCCGCGUGUAUGAAGAAGGCCUUCGGGUUGUAAAGUACUUUCAGCGAGGAGGAAGGCAUUAAGGUUAAUAACCUUAGUGAUUAACGUUACUCGCAGAAGAAGCACCGGCUAACUCCGUGCCAGCAGCCGCGGUAAUACGGAGGGUGCAAGCGUUAAUCGGAAUUACUGGGCGUAAAGCGCACGCAGGCGGUCUGUUAAGUCAGAUGUGAAAUCCCCGGGCUCAACCUGGGAACUGCAUUUGAAACUGGCAGGCUUGAGUCUUGUAGAGGGGGGUAGAAUUCCAGGUGUAGCGGUGAAAUGCGUAGAGAUCUGGAGGAAUACCGGUGGCGAAGGCGGCCCCCUGGACAAAGAC
Molecule: ribosomal RNA, 751 nt
Filed under: uncultured Raoultella sp.
Lineage: Bacteria; Pseudomonadati; Pseudomonadota; Gammaproteobacteria; Enterobacterales; Enterobacteriaceae
Description: bacterial SSU rRNA
Rfam family: Bacterial small subunit ribosomal RNA
Source: RNAcentral